GAGGGUAUAGCUCAGUGGUAGAGUUCAUGCGUAGCAUGCAGGAGGGUCCUUGGUUCAAUCCCCAGUACCUCCA
RNAcentral lists this transfer RNA (73 nucleotides) under Camelus ferus (Wild Bactrian camel). It matches the Rfam family "tRNA". From Rfam's summary of the family: Transfer RNA (tRNA) molecules are approximately 80 nucleotides in length. Their secondary structure includes four short double-helical elements and three loops (D, anti-codon, and T loops). Lineage: Eukaryota; Metazoa; Chordata; Mammalia; Artiodactyla; Camelidae. The record is from Rfam by way of RNAcentral.